GUAGGUGGCAAGCGUUGUCCGGAAUUAUUGGGCGUAAAGCGCGCGCAGGCGGUCCUUUAAGUCUGAUGUGAAAGCCCACGGGCUCAACCGUGGAGGGUCAUUGGAAACUGGGGGACUUGAGUACAGAAGAGGAAAGCGGAAUUCCAAGUGUAGCGGUGAAAUGCGUAGAGAUUUGGAGGAACACCAGUGGCGAAGGCGGCUCUCUGGUCUGUAACUGACGCUGAGGCGCGAAAGCGUGGGGAGCAAACAGGAUUAGAUACCCUGGUAGUCCACGCCGUAAACGAUGAGUGCUAAGUGUUAGGGGGUUUCCGCCCCUUAGUGCUGCAGCUAACGCAUUAAGCACUCCGCCUGGGGAGUACGGCCGCAAAGGCUG
Molecule: ribosomal RNA, 373 nt
Filed under: uncultured organism
Description: partial 16S ribosomal RNA
Rfam family: Bacterial small subunit ribosomal RNA
Source: RNAcentral